CACCCGCGCUUGGCAAACAUCCCCAGCCCUCACUCCCGAACCUGGACAAUUAAGCAGUCGCGGGCCACAUCCAGUACGGCUUGGGCGACUUCCCGGGAACGUUGCGGUGCUUGCUU
Molecule: ribosomal RNA, 116 nt
Organism: Trichomonas vaginalis G3
Lineage: Eukaryota; Parabasalia; Trichomonadida; Trichomonadidae
Source: RefSeq, a predicted model, not a curated record